This 1528-nucleotide ribosomal RNA is filed under the name Klebsiella pneumoniae. Its description in RNAcentral is "bacterial SSU rRNA". It matches the Rfam family "Bacterial small subunit ribosomal RNA". Lineage: Bacteria; Pseudomonadati; Pseudomonadota; Gammaproteobacteria; Enterobacterales; Enterobacteriaceae. The record is from RNAcentral.
AGAGUUUGAUCAUGGCUCAGAUUGAACGCUGGCGGCAGGCCUAACACAUGCAAGUCGAGCGGUAGCACAGAGAGCUUGCUCUCGGGUGACGAGCGGCGGACGGGUGAGUAAUGUCUGGGAAACUGCCUGAUGGAGGGGGAUAACUACUGGAAACGGUAGCUAAUACCGCAUAACGUCGCAAGACCAAAGUGGGGGACCUUCGGGCCUCAUGCCAUCAGAUGUGCCCAGAUGGGAUUAGCUAGUAGGUGGGGUAACGGCUCACCUAGGCGACGAUCCCUAGCUGGUCUGAGAGGAUGACCAGCCACACUGGAACUGAGACACGGUCCAGACUCCUACGGGAGGCAGCAGUGGGGAAUAUUGCACAAUGGGCGCAAGCCUGAUGCAGCCAUGCCGCGUGUGUGAAGAAGGCCUUCGGGUUGUAAAGCACUUUCAGCGGGGAGGAAGGCGUUAAGGUUAAUAACCUUGGCGAUUGACGUUACCAGCAGAAGAAGCACCGGCUAACUCCGUGCCAGCAGCCGCGGUAAUACGGAGGGUGCAAGCGUUAAUCGGAAUUACUGGGCGUAAAGCGCACGCAGGCGGUCUGUCAAGUCGGAUGUGAAAUCCCCGGGCUCAACCUGGGAACUGCAUUCGAAACUGGCAGGCUAGAGUCUUGUAGAGGGGGGUAGAAUUCCAGGUGUAGCGGUGAAAUGCGUAGAGAUCUGGAGGAAUACCGGUGGCGAAGGCGGCCCCCUGGACAAAGACUGACGCUCAGGUGCGAAAGCGUGGGGAGCAAACAGGAUUAGAUACCCUGGUAGUCCACGCCGUAAACGAUGUCGAUUUGGAGGUUGUGCCCUUGAGGCGUGGCUUCCGGAGCUAACGCGUUAAAUCGACCGCCUGGGGAGUACGGCCGCAAGGUUAAAACUCAAAUGAAUUGACGGGGGCCCGCACAAGCGGUGGAGCAUGUGGUUUAAUUCGAUGCAACGCGAAGAACCUUACCUGGUCUUGACAUCCACAGAACUUUCCAGAGAUGGAUUGGUGCCUUCGGGAACUGUGAGACAGGUGCUGCAUGGCUGUCGUCAGCUCGUGUUGUGAAAUGUUGGGUUAAGUCCCGCAACGAGCGCAACCCUUAUCCUUUGUUGCCAGCGGUUCGGCCGGGAACUCAAAGGAGACUGCCAGUGAUAAACUGGAGGAAGGUGGGGAUGACGUCAAGUCAUCAUGGCCCUUACGACCAGGGCUACACACGUGCUACAAUGGCAUAUACAAAGAGAAGCGACCUCGCGAGAGCAAGCGGACCUCAUAAAGUAUGUCGUAGUCCGGAUUGGAGUCUGCAACUCGACUCCAUGAAGUCGGAAUCGCUAGUAAUCGUAGAUCAGAAUGCUACGGUGAAUACGUUCCCGGGCCUUGUACACACCGCCCGUCACACCAUGGGAGUGGGUUGCAAAAGAAGUAGGUAGCUUAACCUUCGGGAGGGCGCUUACCACUUUGUGAUUCAUGACUGGGGUGAAGUCGUAACAAGGUAACCGUAGGGGAACCUGCGGUUGGAUCACCU